AUCUGCCUGGCUCCCUGAAUGCCAUCUGUUGAGCGUGUCAAGAGGUUUGACAUGCUUCUUAGUUGGCAUCAGGGGAGCCAUGCAGAU
This 87-nucleotide microRNA precursor is filed under the name Amborella trichopoda. Its description in RNAcentral is "pre miRNA mir-160". It matches the Rfam family "mir-160 microRNA precursor family". From Rfam's summary of the family: The hairpin precursors (represented here) are predicted based on base pairing and cross-species conservation -- their extents are not known. In this case the mature sequence is excised from the 5' arm of the hairpin. The record is from Rfam by way of RNAcentral. Lineage: Eukaryota; Viridiplantae; Streptophyta; Magnoliopsida; Amborellales; Amborellaceae.